AUGGCUCGAGAAGAAGAGUACGUCGAUCUAUUGAUAGCAAAAAAAUUGACAGAUGUUGGUUCACUCCUUACUAGAGUAGAGACAAGAUACAAGCUCGAGAAGCCAAUUGAGAGAAUCAACAAUGAUCAAAAUAAAGACAUAGAGAAAAUAUUAAUUCAAAUAGUGGGAGCAGUUAUCGAAGUUGGAAUUUUUAUUGAAAUAUCUAAUUAUGGUUCUUGUUUUUUUUGGAUCGAUCCUCUUUGCGAAGAAUUGGUGAGUUAUGUACUCCGGUGUAUCAAGAAGUCGUUCAAUAAAAAUAAAAGGCAAUGA
Molecule: ribosomal RNA, 309 nt
Filed under: Triticum aestivum (bread wheat)
Lineage: Eukaryota; Viridiplantae; Streptophyta; Magnoliopsida; Poales; Poaceae
Description: partial small subunit ribosomal RNA
Source: RNAcentral